UGCCUAAUACAUGCAAGUCGAACGAGAAACUCGGAGCUUGCUCCGGGUGGACAGUGGCGAACGGGUGAGUAACACGUGAGAAACCUGCCCCGAAGACCGGGACAACACCGGGAAACCGGUGCUAAUACCGGAUGUCCUUACCGGACCGCAUGAUCUGGUAAGGAAAUGGAUUCCGCUUCGGGAUGGUCUCGCGGCCUAUCAGCUUGUUGGCGGGGUAACGGCCCACCAAGGCAACGACGGGUAGCUGGUCUGAGAGGAUGUCCAGCCACACUGGGACUGAGACACGGCCCAGACUCCUACGGGAGGCAGCAGUGGGGAAUCUUGCGCAAUGGGCGAAAGCCUGACGCAGCGACGCCGCGUGGGGGAUGAAGCUUCUCGGAGUGUAAACCCCUUUCGACCUAGACGAAAAGCCUCGCAAGAGGAAUUGACGGUACAGGGAGAAGAAGCCCCGGCUAACUACGUGCCAGCAGCCGCGGUAAGACGUAGGGGGCCAGCGUUGCUCGGAAUUACUGGGCGUAAAGGGUCUGUAGGCGGUGCGGCAAGUCCGGAGUGAAAUCUCCCGGCUCAACUGGGAGGCUGCUUUGGAAACUGCUGUGCUCGAGUGUGGGAGAGGCGCGUGGAAUUGCAGGUGUAGCGGUGAAAUGCGUAGAUAUCUGCAGGAACACCAGAGGCGAAAGCGGCGCGCUGGACCAUAACUGACGCUGAGAGACGAAAGCUAGGGGAGCAAACAGGAUUAGAUACCCUGGUAGUCCUAGCCCUAAACGAUCGGCACUUGAGGUGGGCCCUGUCCGGGGUCCGUCUCGCAGCCAACGCGAUAAGUGCCGCGCCUGGGGAGUACGGUCGCAAGACUGAAACUCAAAGGAAUUGACGGGGGCCCGCACAAGCGGUGGAACAUGUGGUUCAAUUCGACGCAACGCGAAGAACCUUACCUGGGCUCGAAGUACUGCUGACCAUCUGUAGAAAUAUGGACUUCCCGCAAGGGACAGCAGUAGAGGUGCUGCAUGGCUGUCGUCAGCUCGUGCCGUGAGGUGUUGGGUUAAGUCCCGCAACGAGCGCAACCCUUACAUUCUGUUGCCACCCGCAAGGGGGAGCUCGGAAUGGACUGCUCCGGAUAACGGAGAGGAAGGUGGGGAUGACGUCAAGUCAGCAUGGCCUUUAUGUCCAGGGCUACACACGUGUUACAAUGCACGGUACAGACUGUUGCCAACCCGCGAGGGGGAGCUAAUCGGAAAAAACCGUGCUCAGUUCGGAUUGCAGUCUGCAACUCGACUGCAUGAAGCUGGAAUCGCUAGUAAUGGCGUAUCAGAUCGGCGCCGUGAAUACGUUCCCGGGCCUUGCACACACUGCCCGUCACA
This 1355-nucleotide ribosomal RNA is filed under the name uncultured bacterium. RNAcentral describes it as "bacterial SSU rRNA". It matches the Rfam family "Bacterial small subunit ribosomal RNA", at positions 45 to 1401 of the family's 1533-position model. The record is from RNAcentral.